GGGAGAGCUGAGUGGGAGAUGUGGGGCUGAGUUGCCGGCAUCAGCCAAGGGUACACAAAGGUACCAGCUGAAAGAUGAGAACACUGAGACUUCGGAAGGGUGAAUGACUCCAUAACUGAAUGGUG
RNAcentral lists this long non-coding RNA (125 nucleotides) under Mustela putorius furo (domestic ferret). RNAcentral describes it as "lncRNA (ENSMPUG00000029870.1)". Lineage: Eukaryota; Metazoa; Chordata; Mammalia; Carnivora; Mustelidae. The record is from RNAcentral.